This 239-nucleotide unclassified non-coding RNA is filed under the name plant metagenome. Its description in RNAcentral is "partial contains small subunit ribosomal RNA and internal transcribed spacer 1". The stretch from base 1 to 46 matches the Rfam family "Eukaryotic small subunit ribosomal RNA", at positions 1786 to 1831 of the family's 1831-position model. The record is from RNAcentral.
AAGUCGUAACAAGGUUUCCGUAGGUGAACCUGCGGAAGGAUCAUUAGAAAGUCAUGUUCGCCGUGGAGACGCGCGCGAACCUACCUUCAAACCACUGUGAAACCACUUGUUGCCUUCGCGGCACGUCCUCCGCCCCGCCGGGACGGCAAGGGCCGAUCAUCGUCCGCAAGCCAAAGCCCAAAAACCAAAACUUCUUUGUAACAGUCUGUCUGAGAAAAAACUGAAUUAAAUUCGUUAAA